ACCCCCCUCUUGCCCCAACCAUUCAUUCAUCCAUGUUCUGGAGAACUCUGAAUGAAAGAAAUCCUAGCCGCAUUGCCCUCCGCCUAGCCCUCCAUCGUUGCCGCCUAACCCAGCUCCUCUUCGGCUCUUCAUCUUCGCUGGCUUCUCGGCACGGACCCAGCUGAAGAAAUUGGAGGGGUUGGAUGAGGAGACAUUGAUGCCUCAGAAGACACCACCACCAUCAACAUAUCCUUGUUAGUUGAAGGUUUUUUUAGCACAAUAGUUGAAAUCACAAUCAUAAUUACAUAAUAUGUUUAAAUAAUUAUCCCAA
Molecule: non-coding RNA, 310 nt
Organism: Arachis ipaensis
Lineage: Eukaryota; Viridiplantae; Streptophyta; Magnoliopsida; Fabales; Fabaceae
Source: RefSeq, a predicted model, not a curated record